UACAGAGACUGCAAGCGUUAUUCGGAUUUACUGGGCGUAAAGGGCGUGCAGGCGGUUUGUUUAGUCUAGGGUGAAAGCUCCCGGCUUAACUGGGAGAGGUCCUUGGAUACUGGCAAACUUGAGGGAGGCAGAGGAAAGUGGAAUUCCCGGUGUAGUGGUGAUAUGCGUAGAUAUCGGGAGGAACACCAGUGGCGAAGGCGGCUUUCUGGGCCUUACCUGACGCUGAGACGCGAAAGCGUGGGGAGCGAACCGG
Molecule: ribosomal RNA, 253 nt
Filed under: uncultured bacterium
Lineage: Bacteria
Description: partial 16S ribosomal RNA
Rfam family: Bacterial small subunit ribosomal RNA
Source: RNAcentral